GUCACCCAGCCGUGGGUGUCACACACCCCUGGGUGUCACCCAGCCGUGGGUGCCACGAGCUGCUGUGCAGGUGCAGCUGAGCUCAGGGGCAGCAGGAGCAGCGGGGCCCAGGGAAUCCCUGCACAGAGCAUCACUGCCUGCAGCCUUACCCGAAACCGGGGCUCGAGCUCAGGCUGAGGCUCUCGUGGCUCUGUGGGUUUCGGCUCCUUUCCCUCAGCCUCUGUGUUUUUGUUCCUCCCCUCCCUGCCCACUGCAGCCCAAACCCAAAACAAUAACUAGAGGAAACCUCUGGCUGCAUAGUUCUCAUUCCUGAGCCGGGCUGCAUAUGGCUUUGCUUUGGGUGGAGACGAGCUCGUGCUCAAACGUGGUUUUACUCCUUUUGUUUCCAACCUGAGCAAAGCACGAUUGUCCCACUCCUUGACCUUGCUGCAUCCACCCUCCCACAGCAGCAGUGGUGGUGAAACCCUCCCAGCCCCGAAAUUUGGGAGCUUGUGAGAUGGGAGUGUGGGCUGCCUUCAGCCUCAGAGGUGCCAAGAACAGGCAGGGGUGGACGGGAAACACCAAAAGCUCUGUGCCUCUGCUCUGAGGUGCUUUUCCAGCCCAGAGCAAUACCUGGGCACUUACCCCUGUUGUGAGCAGCCAUUGCUGUGUGUGAGCAUUAAAGCCAUGCCGUGUCAAAGCCUUUUGCAUUUGUGCUCAGGAUGCCCCAUGGGUGAUGCUGCUCGGGUUAAUGGUUUGUGUGAGAAAAUAAUGGACGUGACACGGCAGCUCCAGCCUGGGCAAAGCUUCUGUUGGGGAGCGGGGAUAAUCAGAGAUGGGAUCUCCUGAUUCCAGCCUCUUGGAUUUGAUGCUCAGGAGGCGUUUUCUGAGGGAAAGUGCAGAGACAAGACCUCAAUCUUUUCUGAGUGACCAUACAGCAAAUAUGCUGCUUUGAAAUGUCACUGGUUCCCCUACCAGGAAAGAAAUGAAACAAAACUGGAGUGGAUGAAGAAAA
This is a non-coding RNA of Taeniopygia guttata (zebra finch), 994 nucleotides long. The record is from RefSeq and is a predicted model, not a curated record. Lineage: Eukaryota; Metazoa; Chordata; Aves; Passeriformes; Estrildidae.